RNAcentral lists this transfer RNA (74 nucleotides) under Pteridomonas danica. RNAcentral's name for it is "tRNA-Pro". It matches the Rfam family "tRNA". From Rfam's summary of the family: Transfer RNA (tRNA) molecules are approximately 80 nucleotides in length. Their secondary structure includes four short double-helical elements and three loops (D, anti-codon, and T loops). Lineage: Eukaryota; Dictyochophyceae; Pedinellales. The record is from RNAcentral.
CGAGAUAUAACGUAGCUUGGUAGCGUAUCUGCUUUGGGAGUAGAAAGUCACAGGUUCAAAUCCUGUUAUCUCGA